GCUUAUAUUUAUAUAUAUUAAUAUUAAUUCUAAUAAUUUAUAUAUAUUAAUCUUAAUAGAAAUUUGUACAUAUUAUUGAAGUAAAUUAACAAGAGUGUAAGACACGAGGCGGGGGCAUGGACGGCAGAAAGGCCCCGCUCCAGAGCCGAACAGGCCCUGUUAUCACACGAAGCAGGGCCUGUGGCUGGGCUAUAAAAGGCCACUGGCAGCUCCAUAUGGGGAUUGAGAGACCGUAAACGAGAUAUCGGGUGAAAAGAGUGUCAAAAGUAAAAAUGAUAAGUGAAAGUCAACGCGAGUGGCAAAUAAGUACAUCGAAGAACUCCCAGGAUAUCGUGGGAACAUCAAGGACAUCCAGAGGGAAUCCUUACAACGACUAUCACAGGAUAAGAGGCAAUCAGGAUCGCCAGCGGCACCAACAAGGACAUUAGUGCGGACGAGGACAACCACAGCAGCUUAAGCGGGGCCUGCAGAUACCGAGUGAGUAAGUUCACGUAGCCGUGCGUAAGAGAAUAGUUGUGAGUGAAACGAAGCUAGCGUGUCUUAACACAACACUCUCCCAGCCGGAGUACGCUGAGCCAGCACUCGGCAUUCUGUGGCAGGUGUGCCUUGCGAAAGCGAAUCAUCAAAUAAUUGUACUAUAAGUGAAGUGUAAAAUUUUAAACUUAUUCAAGACAAUAUACUUUACGUUUCUGAACCAUAAA
Molecule: long non-coding RNA, 701 nt
Organism: Drosophila mojavensis
Lineage: Eukaryota; Metazoa; Arthropoda; Insecta; Diptera; Drosophilidae
Exons: 2
Source: RefSeq, a predicted model, not a curated record